RNAcentral lists this ribosomal RNA (447 nucleotides) under uncultured bacterium. Its description in RNAcentral is "bacterial SSU rRNA". It matches the Rfam family "Bacterial small subunit ribosomal RNA", at positions 355 to 825 of the family's 1533-position model. The record is from RNAcentral.
UGGGGAAUCUUGGACAAUGGGCGCAAGCCUGAUCCAGCCAUGCCGCGUGAGUGAUGAAGGCCUUAGGGUUGUAAAACUCUUUCGCCGAGGACGAUAAUGACGGUACUCGGAGAAGAAGCUCCGGCUAACUUCGUGCCAGCAGCCGCGGUAAUACGAAGGGGGCUAGCGUUGUUCGGAUUUACUGGGCGUAAAGCGCGUGUAGGCGGGUCGUUAAGUUGGGGGUGAAAUCCCGAGGCUCAACCUCGGAACUGCCUCCAAAACUGGCGACCUGGAGCAGAUGAGAGGCGAGUGGAAUUCCGAGUGUAGAGGUGAAAUUCGUAGAUAUCGGGAGGAGCAUCAGUGGCGAAGGCGGCCCUCUGGUCCAGUACUGACACUCAAGUGCGAAAGCGUGGGGAGCAAACAGGAUUAGAUACCCCCGUAGUCCCUGAGCGGGCUGGCAAGGCGCAU